AGAUAUAUUUUUUUAAAUUUGGGGAAUCUGUAUUUGUGAAGACAUAAUUAUGACCCAUUGCAACUCUCACCAAUUUCUUAGGUUAUUAAAUGCAAAGCAGCUGUGUUAUGGGAGCCAAAUAAACUGUUUUCCAUUGAGGAAAUAGAAGUUGCCCUAUCAAAGGCUAAAGAAGUUCGGAUUAAGGUUGAUGCCCUCGCAUCCUGCCAUAUGAACUAUGGGACCAGUGUGGUGGUAGGUGCUCCUCCAUCAGCCAAGAUGCUCACCUACGACCCUAUGCUGCUCUUCACUGGACGCACAUGGAAAGGAUGCAUUUUUGGAGCAUCCUGAUGUUCUGAGAUUCUAAGAGACUGGAGGUCUGCGCUGAGUGAUGGUGACCUGGAGCUUCCCUUUCACACUUCCUUCUGCUGAGGUCUUGGGUCUGCUUCAUACGGACAAGCAGAAGUCGAGGACUUGUGAAGAUACAUAAUCCUUAUGAAAGAAGUAUUUAGAGUCUUAUGAGUGCCUGGAAAUUAGCAGGAGGUUUGGGUCAACAAUAUUAACAUUUUAGAUUUACAUUUUCCUAGACUGUAAUUACAUAUUUUGAAAAAAUAUACUUUCAUUUUUAAGGUGGAGUAGAGGUUUUUAAAAAAAGAAUUUAAGCCAGCUGCCACCACUUAGAGCAGAUUUGGCAUGUAAAGAUGAAGAUGACAUAUGUAUUUCCUAAAGUUAUACUCCUUUUACUGAAUACUAUAAA
This is a non-coding RNA of Miniopterus natalensis, 733 nucleotides long. NCBI's taxonomy places the organism in Eukaryota, Metazoa, Chordata, Mammalia, Chiroptera, Miniopteridae. The record is from RefSeq and is a predicted model, not a curated record.